CAGCAGCCACGGUAACACGAAGGGGGCUAGCGUUGCUCGGAAUUACUGGGCGUAAAGGGCGCGUAGGCGGACGGUUCAGUCGGGGGUGAAAGCCCGGGGCUCAACCUCGGAAUUGCCUUCGAUACUGGCUGUCUUGAGUGUGAGAGAGGUGUGUGGAACUCCGAGUGUAGAGGUGAAAUUCGUAGAUAUUCGGAAGAACACCAGUGGCGAAGGCGACACACUGGCUCACUACUGACGCUGAGGCGCGAAAGCGUGGGGAGCAAACAGGAUUAGAUACCCCUGUAGUCCCUGUCUCUUAUAC
This 301-nucleotide ribosomal RNA is filed under the name uncultured bacterium. RNAcentral describes it as "partial 16S ribosomal RNA". It matches the Rfam family "Bacterial small subunit ribosomal RNA", at positions 509 to 807 of the family's 1533-position model. The record is from RNAcentral.